Long non-coding RNA from Cervus elaphus (red deer), 441 nucleotides. RefSeq lists it as uncharacterized. The transcript has 3 exons. The record is from RefSeq and is a predicted model, not a curated record. Lineage: Eukaryota; Metazoa; Chordata; Mammalia; Artiodactyla; Cervidae.
CCCCGCGACGCCCCCUCCUCUCCUGGGCGCCGCGCGGCGCCCCGCCCCCUCGACGCCCCCUCCCCGCCGUGGUGGGGAGGAGCUCGUAGUUGGGGGAGGGGUCUGGAGAUGGAGAGUGGAUGGUGUGGAGGAGGCCCGGGGGAGUGUGGGGACCUGAGCGAGGUCGGGGAGCGGAUGCUGCGCCUACCACCUCGUGUGCAGGGACUCGGGACCUAAAGGGACUUUCGUGAUUCCGUGGCUCCUGGGGAAGACGGCAAGGUAACCCAGAGCUACCGUGGAGCCCCAGGAGAGAGGUAGCCUGGGGUCCAGUGCAUGAAAAGUGAAAUACAUGGACCUGAAGUGAGGCAGCAGAGGGAACAAGACAGCCCAGGGCAAGGCAGGUUGGCUGGCCAGCCCCAAGCCCUCUGACAGAAAAGCCAGCAGCAGGCUGCAUCUCUGAGG